RNAcentral lists this ribosomal RNA (253 nucleotides) under uncultured bacterium. RNAcentral describes it as "partial 16S ribosomal RNA". It matches the Rfam family "Bacterial small subunit ribosomal RNA", at positions 524 to 776 of the family's 1533-position model. The record is from RNAcentral.
UACAGAGGGGGCAAGCGUUGUUCGGAAUUACUGGGCGUAAAGGGCGCGUAGGCGGCCUGCUAAGUCGAACGUGAAAUCCCUGGGCUCAACCCAGGAACUGCGUCCGAUACUGGUUGGCUUGAAUCCGGGAGAGGGACGUGGAAUUCCAGGUGUAGCGGUGAAAUGCGUAGAUAUCUGGAGGAACACCGGUGGCGAAGGCGACGUCCUGGACCGACAUUGACGCUGAGGCGCGAAAGCCAGGGGAGCAAACGGG